This 10594-nucleotide long non-coding RNA is filed under the name Gallus gallus (chicken). Its description in RNAcentral is "lncRNA (ENSGALG00010010788.1)". The record is from RNAcentral. Lineage: Eukaryota; Metazoa; Chordata; Aves; Galliformes; Phasianidae.
CUGCAGGGAUGAGGACAGUUCAGUUUCAGAGCUGUAUCUCCUUGGUAUGACUGUUCCUGAUGGAUUGUGAACAGAAUUGUAUUGUGAAAUAUAUGCGCUUAUUGGAGUUGCUGUUAACUUCAUAAUUGCUCUGUAAUUACUAAAGAGAGAGAAUCUUGCGCUUCUGACAGCCAGUCUCACAGGAGGAGGAUGGCUUCUCCCACCACACACUGCCUCACAGUGCUCUUGUCCUGGCCUGACCUGACUGUCAUGAAGCUUGCUAUGGAUUUUGUACCUGCGCUCUGACUGUUGGGCUGCAUCAGAACUUCUCUGCUCAAGAGAACCCGUUUGCAUCGCAGCUGUGAGCAAGUCCAGCUUCUCUUGUGACACACAGAAAACUGUGAUUCAGCUCAGGUAGCUCUCUUCGUUACAUGAUGACAAAAGGGUGAUGUGUUGCUGGCCCGCUGGGAGGCCACCCACGGCCCUCAGUGUCCCAGCAUGUUCCUGUGCAUGUGAACAUCCCUGAGGCUGCUUCCUGGAGAUGUCUGUCACAUCACACGGGCCAGUUCCACUACGUGCCAGUGAUCCAUGCUAUGGCUUUGGUAUUUCACUUCUGCUGGACGUACUUUCCAGUGCAUCCUGGGAGCAUGCUUGUAUUGCCGUAACUGCAUCCCAUGGGCACCCCAAAUCAUUAAUCACCAGUGUGCUCUUUUCCUCUUCUGCUGGUUCCAGACGAGUUCCCAGUUCAUAGCCAGUUGGAGUUUGAUAUAUCAUCCAAUGAUUGCUCUUUGAGUCAUUGGAAGCUCCUACGAAAAGAAGAAAAACAAAUUUACAAGCUGCUGUGGUAGUGUCGUAGUCUAACUGAGCAUCCACGGCAUCAGCUGGAGAACUGUCCUGAUGGUGCUCUUGGAAUUUGGGUCAGACUACAUAAUGCUCCAAACAAGCUGUGAAGAAAGCUGCAGGAAGAUCUGAGAGGCAUCCCCAUGAGGACAGGGAUGGGUAAUUAUUUAUUUUUUUAAGCUUGCUCAAAGCCCUGCGCCUACCUGUGGCCUGACUCAAGGCUCCUGUUGGCUUUGGGGAGAGCUGGCCAAAACCAGUAUGUUGGACCCCACUUGUCAUGCUCUUGGCACUUUUGCAGAAGGAGCUGGAAGGACAGCUCACCCCAGCUUGUGUCACAACAGCAGAGAUCAUGUUUGCAUCUGCAAGAGAAGCUGCAGUCAACAACAUGGUGCCAACAGUCUCCAGGUGAAUGCAGCUGGUGUGCUUCUGUUUCACUGAACUUUUAUCUACCAUAUAAUCAUGAAUGGGAGUCCCUCUACAAAGUGGGUCUUCACCCCACUAUUUGCAUUCUAUUUCUCUGUCUAGUGGCACUGUGGCUAUUUUCUUUGCUCCCUGAACUGUCCAGCUUUUCCUUCCUUUUUCCCUUCCUAGCCCCUUCCCUCUUCAUUUCUAUUCCAGUAUGUUUUCACAAGAUGACCUACUGAAUAUUAGUAUCUGGGUAAAGACUACCUCUUUGUGUCAAACCUCUGGCUUCAUCACAACACCAUAAACCACCACUGGAAAAUAAAACAAUAAAGCAGAGGUGUAUGAGGGGUUUCUCAAGUAAGUUAUUUGUGUUGAGCACACGUACAGAUACUUAUUUUACUUUCUCUAUCAUAGAUCAGCUAGUGGGUAUUUUCUUUAGUUGAAAUAUUGGAAAAUAAACUCAGGCAGCCCUGAGAUCUGUCCCAGGUGGCACAGUCAGGGUGCAGGUGGCAUGUUAACCCACUGCUUCUCAUGGUGCAGAAGCCUGGGGCUAUCAAAGUGAAAGAGCAGGCUGUGUGAACGCCUCACCGUGGGUCAUUUUUUCUUGUCAAUGUAUAACCAGACUUAAAAUGUGGUUAGGCAAAUUCCUGCAUAAAAAGUCCUUCGGGGCUCUUUACAACUAGGGAUUUAGCUGGGACUGUACCACUGCCCAACUGCCCUUCGUGUCUGCAUUUUCCUAAGCUAUCAUCCUGGCCCUUCUCAGAGAUGGGGCUGUGAUGUGUCCUCCCAGUCACCUCUGCACACCUCAGUUCUCUGCCUUCCAUCUUCUCCCUGCCUCCCAUCUGGGCACUUCCACGCACUGCGCAACUGCCCUGCUAGCAAACCACUCCAGAGUGAACUUUGUCCUCCGCCACCUGGCAGCAAACCUCUGUGGCAUGAAUUGUCAUGGAUCUUCUGCUUCCAAUGGAAGGUUGACAACCUGUGAAGGAUAUGUCCCACAUUUUUUCCUGAAGGCUUUUUUGAGUUGGAAGGAUCUCUUCAGUUAUUUUUGUCAAAAUGGGAGUGCAUUUUCUCCAUUUUUUUUCUUUAUUCCAGGAAUUCAGUUCUUGUCCGUGUUGAGGAAUGAGGUCAAAGAGCUGGCUUUAUAGCAUGCUGGAGAGAAAAUAACUCCUACUUAAUAAACAAAUAAAUGAACAGUCCCCACUGCUCAGUAGGGUGUGAUACGAGUUCCAAAUUUACGCGUAAAACCUUUCAAACCAUGCAUGACUUUGCUAGCACUGUUGAAAGCGAAAAGCAGGCAUGGAAAAACCUAACUAACUGAAAAUGCAUUUGGAAAUGCUUUCUUAAGGAUAAGAAUCAUAAAAUGCAAACUGGAAUACAAACCCAAUUUCACAAUAUUACAUUGCAAAUUGUUUUGAUUUUGGAAGGAUGCAGAGUGCAGGCUAAGAUCAGCUGCCUGCAUAGGCCAUGUUAUAAUAAAUCACAUUGCAUUUUUCAUCCCCAGAACAAUCUCCAGUGAUACGGUACGUUCUUUAUUAAGAGUGUUCCGCAGCAAUCAGAGCUGAAGGGAAGGAAGGAAAUGGCUUGAAGAACAUGGCAAGAAUCCCUUAAAGUUAAGGGAGGGGAAUGGGGAAAGUUAUUUUAAAAGUACAGGUGGUUAGUGUAAAUUAUUGAGCACUUCAAAUGUUUUCCCUUGAUAAUUCUAAUCACCUUGUGAAAUCAGUCAUUCACGCUUUUGCAAAACUCUUGAUUUAUUGGGAGCUUUAAUCUAUUAGUUGCAGCUCGGGAGCCAACCGUGCAUUCAUCUCCAUGGGCAGAAAGAGCUGGGCUCAGCCCUGCAGCAGAACUCAGUGCUACAGCUGCUGAGCACGCACCACCAUGACAUGAACGGUGCCAACUCUGAGAGGGAUGCUGAUGCCUGGAGGCACCCCAGCUUGCUGCACCAGGGCUUGGGCCAUGGAGAUGUUCCCUCAGACUCCAAGGGUGUGGGGACCACGGGGCGGUGGCACGGGAAUGAAGGUGUUUUGAAGUGUACCUUGGACAUUAAGCCUCCACAUUGAAUGGGAGGGUUUUGUGCGACUCUUUUGUGCCAGAUGGGUCAGCCACAGAAUGGUGCUAUCAACAUAGGUUGGCUUAGCAAUAGGGAUCAGUGAUUUUGGAUGACACUUCACAGCUUCAGUCAUGAUUCCUUCCAGGCAGAGCCCUCCUCUUGCUGUUCUUCGGGCAUUGACUUUUUUCUACUGUAUUUGGGAAUUUCUCAUCAUCAUUAUUUAGGAAUAGCUCCAGUUUGCUGUGGAUGAUAAUGUUUGUUACCAAGGUGCUUGGGUGCAGCAGUAAGACCAACUGGUGCUAGCUCAACUCUUACAUAAUUAGCAAACACUGUCAAAUCUCAGUCAUCACAAUGAAUGCUAAGGUGAUUUAGGUAAAUGAGGGUUAAGAUAAACAGGUGAUAUUUUAGUGUUUAAUGCAUUAACAUCUUAAUAGCCAUUAAAUGAUUUGACCUCAUUUCUGCUAAGUGAGCAUUUAAUAAACAAGUUUUGACUGCAGUGACAUUGUGCAAAGGUCUCUGUGAGAACUUUGGGCAGACAGAGACCAUCUUUGUGACUGAACAACACUGUGCACAGUGGGGCGUUGCACUGGAUAUGGUAGCAGAGCGUGACAAGGUUUCACGUCUGGAGGCUGCCUAAGAGCAAGGGAGACUGAGCAGGCAUGCAGGAUCCCUGCUCCAUCUGGAUGACCUGCUGCCAGCUGCCAUAGUUAGUUGUAAAGUGUUCCUCAUCUCUUUCUUUUCUAUUUUCCCCUUUUUCUUUUAAUUUCGCCUCCCUUUUCUUCCUUUUUCUCUUCUCUUCUCUUCUCUUCUCUUCUCUUCUCUUCUCUUCUCUUCUCUUCUCUUCUCUUCUCUUCUCUUCUCUUCUCUUCUCUUCUCUUCUCUUCUUCUCUUCUCUUUUUUUCCCCUUAUUCUUUUUUUCUUGACUUAGUUGGACUGCCUGGGGACUUGCCAGAAACUAGGGGCCAGACCUUUUUCUGGGAGUCUUGUCUUUGGCAUCAGUGGAAAAAGGAUUUGCUCUUUAAUGCUCUAUAUUAGAACUACUCAGGCUGCUUGAAUCCUAAUUCAGCUAUUAACACUAGUUUAGGUAACAAGGAUGACAGUAAGGCAGUGGGAUAGGCAGCAGGACCAGGCCCACCUCUCACCCCACUUACCCCUCCACCUGCACUAAAUUCCCCUUGUGGCAACUGUGUGGUUCAGCGCAACACAGAGACUGUCCUGAAAGCUAUUAAACAUGAGAAUGAUGCCAGCUGAGCCUGAAGAGUGGGCACUGAGCACUCCUGGGCAGCCUGCAUCCUCCUGGCCCCAGCACGUGUUGCGCAGAAGAUGCACUCCAGCACAGCUUUCAUGAGCUCUCAAAGAGGCAUCGACUUCUUUUUUUUUUGCAUCUUAGCAAUGUAGCUGCAGACGUAAAACAUAACAGACAUUUAGAAACUGUAUGACUUUCCCUAAUUGUCUGCAACAGUUUCAAGAUAAGUCAUUUUUAAAAGAAUUGCUUUGAACAGAGAUGACUUUAAAACAGACUUCCGUACUUCUUGUUUUUGCUUCUGUCUUGGCACAGAUGCUUACCCUCUCUCCUUUGUAGAGUUAAUUAUGCAAAGGCGAAGAAGCUACACUAACGUUGUAAUUUUGUUUGGCAAGGUGAGCCACAAAACAUAUGCUGUGUCAUGCCUUUUUAUUACCGUGCAAGAAUUGCCAAAGAAGCCUAAGGAGGAAUCAAGGGCAUCAUCGUUGCGAGGAAAAGAGGAAACAGCCCAGUUUUACAACACUGAGGCUUGUAACCGCUUGCGGUAGAUAGUUUCAGAACUGGUUUAAUUUUAAAUUAUUCUUUUGCCAACCGACAGCAGCUUCAGAGUGACUUUUGUUUGAUCCUACCACUUUCUGAUCCCCGUUGAGUCAUUUUACGAUGCCCUGGCAACCAAAGUCCAACCGAUGCAGGCAGCGCCACAGCAGCAACCGCUCUGUCCUCUGUGUGGGGAGAUGGCAUCACCAAAGGUGGCUCUAGCCAGAAAAGCACUGAUCUCCUGUGCCCACGCCGGCUGCUCAAUGUGCUGCUACUAUCCCAAGGGGUGUUUUCAGUUGGAAGGGAUCAAGGAACCCGUUUGGGCUUAAAAUAACUAGGCUGAAAGAUAAGAUUAUGUUCAACUUGGUCUCUUUCCAGCCAGUUUCCUGAGAAGCUGGAGAGAUACAGAAGAAAUGUGGGUUUUGGUAUAUGACAAAUCCACACUGCGACUUCUCCCCACUGCUUUUGUUGCAAUGCCUUUGAGCUCGUGCAAAACUACGGAAAAGGCCACAGAGGGGGAGCUCAGCAGAAGGAAGCCUGGUUUCUCCACCAGAGAUGGAUCAUGUUGAAACACAAGGGUAGCCUCUUCCUUAUUGGAAGCUGGGAUAUUGCCUGUGCUGUGCAGAGAGGAGCCCACAGCAGCAGCCUUUGGGCAAUGGGACACACUUCUGGAGUUGUUAUCAUCUGCCAUCAAACACAGCCCUAGGCCCGAGGAGGGGCUUUAAUGAGCAGGGAAAACACCACAGAAGAACUGGAAAUGUUCCCCCUCAGCUAGACAAGUCCCAGGCCCUAGCUGGAUGGCACCAACUGGACUGUAUGUCUGGGCACUGCGUCCCACUCAUUUUUAAGGAAAAUUAAGCCCCACCCCGGAGAGUCUGCUCACAGCUCAGGCAGUUCUCUGCUGGACUGGGCUGCCUGGAGCCCGUGUUCUCCACAUCUGAAACCAGACGACCCCAGGAGCAAAGCUCCACGUUUCCAGUCACUGGUUCACAGCCUCUGGCAGUUCCUGCAGGAUGGCUGAAAACAGUGCCAUGGGGCUGGCAGCUUGCCCCCACAGCCAGUGCAUCCCAACCACACCUGCCUUGGACCUGGAGAAGGAAUCCUAUAAUCCCUGUGUGGUCCUUCAGCAUUACCCAGCAUCUCCAUCCCAAACAUUGCGUCUUCCUUCUCCUUCCUGCUCCAUAAUGCAACCACUUAUAUGGAAAAUGAAUCAGCCCUCCUUGGGCAUCUUUCCAAAUGCCCCUCUGACUAAUUCUGCCCAAAACAGCCAGGCUGACCCUGUGCAAUGGCGUGAUCAUGGCAGACAGGACUGGGUCACGUUUGGGUGGAGGAAGGGAAAAACUGUUUUGCAGGCCUGCCCAAAAAUCCUCAUGUUGACUCUGCCAAAACCACACCAAACAUAUGGUAAAUGAAAUAGCUGGCAUGGAGCUGCUUUGGACGGCAGGAGUGUUUCAGCACUGUGGACUGCUCUUUAGCUGUCUUGAAUGUUAUUUACACUGUUUUAAGUAUCUCCACAUUUAAGGGAGAGAAGGCAAAGAAGAGGGCGAUGCCAAUUUUUUUGUGCAUUUGAUGCUUUUUACAUGCACGUUAUUUUUAUAGCCAUGUUAGCACGGUCCCAAUGCUUGCCCUGUCCUGUGGCUGAGAACAGUAACAGCAUUGCAGAAGGUUUCCUCCCCUCUUCGUGUAGCAACAGACUUCGGUGGAAAAGCACACAGAAGCAUUUUCUCUCUCAAAACAGGAGCUGUGCCUAAUUCACCAUAUAAAUGUCCUGCACAUUUCAUGGAGCUGAUGAAAUCAUGUACAGAUGGAAUGCCUCUUAACAAAGGCUUUAUUCACAGGGCAGGUUUCUCUGCCAUGUAUCUUUGACUGUAUUCCAGCUUAUACAGCUAUUCCCAGUGAAUACAUCCAUGGAGCCAGACCAUUUUCUGGGCAGAUACCAAAGGUGGAUGUGCUCAGCUCCCAACACCGCACUGUGGCUUCACUACAAGUCUGAGGCUGGAAGUCAUGCCAAUGAGCAUUCCUUUCCUCACUCUGUAUUGUUCACCUGGACUCAAGCACCCAGUGCCAUUUCCAGGGUUUGUCAGGUACUUUGGAAGAAACACCGCAGGACAACAGAACCUGAGAAAGAGCAUCCAGAGAAGCCAGAGGUCUUCAGUCAUUUGGGAGACGGCCAUAGGAAUGGAGUUGUGGUGGCUACAGCUACAAAAGAUGGAUGAAAAUAAAGCAGCCAAAUGGUGAUGAUCAUGAAAAAAAAAUAAAAAAUAAAAAGUGACUGUUCUUGAGAUCGAGGUAUAGAUUUUUUUUCUUGGAGCUACAGUGGCAGAGUGCCAGCAGGAGAGCUCACCUCCUCACAUAGCAGCUGGCGGGCUGCUGGGCAGCUCUCCACCACCGUUUGCAUGUUUUAACCCUUCCCCAGCCCCAACUCAACCUGUAGCUUCUCCCAUUUGUCCAUAAGCCAUGGCGUCCUGACACUAUUGCACUCUUGAGGGUCCUGUGUAAAAGCAGGCAGGGGCUGCUGGCCUGCUCGCAUGCACACCUUCCCAGUGCUGAAAACUCAACUCCCAAAUCCCCUGUUCAUCCAACAACCUCAUCAUCUAGACAAGGAAAACAGCAGGCUGAUCUAUGCUGCAGAGCACACUUCCUGGCACAGUCCAGUGGUAUUUGCCCAUGAACCCUUCUCUCUGCCUUUCUUUUUUGCCCUUUGUUCAGCGCUCAGUCAGUAACUCCUUAGAAACAACUCGCUAACUGCCCACGCUCAAAACAAGAACAGCAACAACAAAAGGAAUGAUAUAGAGGGAUGACUUCAUCGAGUUUGGAAAUAUCUUCUCAAAUGAAACAUUCCUUUACUCACAUACACAAGAAAGUAUCAAAAUUCUCUGCAGCUGAUGUAAACAGCAGAAAGAAAAAGUCAUCUGGAAGGACAGGAUGAUUCAUACCAAGGACCUGACUGGCAAUAUUCAUCAGUGUUGAAAUCCUCUCUGCAAGAUGACUACAUGCGAAAGCAAAACCAACGAGAUCCCAGCUUUUGCCAUGAGAAGCAUCAUUAACGGCAGAGCAGCGUGGUUAGGCUCCUAAUGCCACAACCCUUGCUCAUGGGAGUAACCCUUGCUCACUCAUCUGACCGGUCGCAGCAAAAAGCCCUGUGUCACCCAGGUGAGAAUGCUUUACAUAAGGGCAGCCACAGCAGCAGGCUGGAUCACGCUCAGCUGUUGCAGCCUAUUUUGCAGAAGGGGCUUUGGAGCAGGAACAGAAAGUUCAAUAGCAAAAGAGAAGGGUUUUUCUCCAUCUUGCCAAAACUCCUUGCUAGGGUUUCCUCGCAGAAAUCCCUGAUUUGAGCACUUUAGGGAGAAUGGAAAGUCCAGCCAAUCUUUCCCUUUAUGUUAAUUGUGUUGAUCCAAAUGGUAACAGGGCACAAAAGGCCGCGCUGACUUUAUGCACUGUUAUGAGAUACUUUCCCCUGCAUAUCUGAAUCUGUUUACUUAAUCUUCCAGGCCUUUACCCAUGAAUAUUAAACUCCUUGAUCACUAUGCAUUAGGAGUCAUCUUUGCACCAUCUGUUUGUAUUUGUCAUCUAACCCUUGUAAAUAAUAAAAUGUACUUUGUUCUCAAGUUCGUGGAUCCUAGCAGGAGAGUGAUUACCACGGAGGAAAAGUACUGUGUGAAGCUAUUAGCAGCCACAGGACUCUCCUUUAGCUCCCUGUCUCCUGUCUGCCCUCUGUGAGACAAAUGUACCAAGUCACAGGUUCCCUAUUGUUCUCCAUAUCAUUCUAUUUCUGCUGCCAACGCAUUCACCACUAUUACGGUCAUUAAACUAAAGCCGAAAACCUACCCCAAAGAGUGACUGUUAGCCUCCUUAGUUUCCUUGUAGUCCCAGAAGAGAUGAUUUCGGGUUCACAUCUCUGAAUACGAUGCAGAAAGUCUUGCUUAUGCAUGUAAAAUGAGCUAAUAGCAGAAGAGAAGGUGAGUUGCAUUCCUGGAUGCCAGUAUUCAGCUGAGAGGUUCAACUGGGAGGUACAGCUCACAAGACGCCAAGCAAACACCAAGGGAAAAAUGCAGAAAGUGCAGUCUCUAGAAUAUAAAAUUAAUCCUUGGAGUUCUGGCUUAAAAUGUUAUGCAGCAGGAAGAGCCUUGCCACAUAUUACUGAGGUUCAGCUUCAACUUCACCAACUGAGACAAGGAGGUUUCACCUGGGAGAGAGGCCCAUAGCUGCAGGUGCUCAUGGGAAGCCACGGCCGCUGGCGGGCACACCUCACACACCAGGAUCUCCCUGCAGCCAGCAGGAGACGUGCCUGGCAGCAGGCUUAUGUCCAUUCACAUCACCCAGUGAGUUGCCUCUCCUUGCUCUUAUAAGUGAACCUGGAUGUCGGGCAACUAUCACCAGUUCUCAGGCAGCUGCAGUCUAUUUAAAACCUAAUGGAGCUGAUUAGAGAAGGGAUCAUUUAGGAGAUGAUAUGGGAUCGUAUUGUAUCUAUCUGAUGUGGUGGUAGCACCAAAUUUAGACAAGAAAAUUGUUGCCAAGUAUUUGCUUAACUGGAAGAGCUGUCUGGGCUCGGACAAGAUACCACUCGCCUCUCUGCUCAGCCUUGCAAACAUCCUACACUAGGAGGUUACCUAUUAAGUGAUACACAAUAGAUCUUUUUAAUUGUUAGAGCGUUACGACCUUAGACUUUGCCCAGGUAUUUAAUAACACCAUCUGCUGUCUAGCUCUGCAAUACUAUUAUUUUUACAUGAGGAUUACUCUUCCUGCUUCACAAACAGCGCUGUAAUAACAGAGCUAAAUAAGAGCACAGCAGCGUGGUACUUACACCCUACUGUCCAAGUAAAACACACAGGAGGUGCAGCUCACCCCAAAUUUCCAGACGCAUUGUCUCCAACCUGGAAGUCUUGAAGUGCUGCAGGCGGAGGAGCUGUGGAUCCAGUCUUGUGGGUUGCACUCAGGAAAAGCUCUCGCCUUGCCUGAGAAAGGGCCAGGAGCAAAAUCCAUCCCUGUGUAGGCUGUCUGCUCCUUGGCUGGCUCUGCUUUUCCCAUUUGCUUCCCCAGAACAACAGCAAUGGUCUGCUGGCCAUGAGCUAGGAGUCACUGUGCCUUCAGGCUUUUUUCUCAUUAAUAACACACUCUUGCAGCACACGCAUUUAGCUCCAAACAGUCAUAUUUAUCUGGUUUUAUAUCUGUAUCUAUAAAGGGUCCAAGGCAAACAGAGAUGUGACCUUUGGCACUUUCAGCUGAAAUGCCUCUGUACCAAUGCACACAUCAUGGGAAGUAAGCAGGAGGAAUUGGAAACUGUGGUGCAAUUGGAAAACUACAAUCUUAUUGCUAUCAUGGAAACACGGUGGGAUGACUCACAAGAGGAAUACCAUGAUUGAGGGCUGUAAACUUUUUAGAAGGGAUAGGCAAAUUGGAGAGGUGGGGGAGUGGCCCUCUUCUUGUUAAGAAGUGGAUAAUCUGCUGAGAGCUGCCCCUGAGAAACAGUCAGGAACAGGUUAAGAGCUUGUGGGUUAAGAUUAGGGACAGGGCCAGUAAAGGGCAUCUGGUGGUCAGGG